UUCUGAAUAUUCAUAUAUCAUAUCUUGUGAUUUAAUUAAAGCAAUUGAUUACCUCACUUCUUAAUUAAGCACUGAAGGAGAAAUCAAUCCGAAUAGAGCAAAAGAAAGAUCAAAUUGACAAUUUCAUUAAAUGUUUGGAACCUCUAAACAUUUAAUUUUGACCAAGAGCGAAAACACUUUUCAAUUCGACACAAUUCCCUUGCGACAUGAAUCAUGUAUGGUCUAUCAUNNN
This 232-nucleotide long non-coding RNA is filed under the name Solanum tuberosum (potato). RNAcentral describes it as "long non-coding RNA (STUB_LNC000841)". The record is from RNAcentral. Lineage: Eukaryota; Viridiplantae; Streptophyta; Magnoliopsida; Solanales; Solanaceae.